GAGAUUGAAUGAUAAAAUAAAAACGUUUUCAUUAAAUUUUUUUUUCAGAACAAUGUAGAAUGUGAUGGGAGCAUUUGGUAUUCGAGGGAUGUGUUGGAGACGAAACAGGAUGAAACAAAUCUAUGCUGGUCUUCUAGUCUCUUCUAUUCUCAUAGGAAUAUGGUUACUUCUCCAGGCCCAGACUGAGCACAAUGAUACAGUAUUCAAACUCAACCAGGAGAUACAGACACUUAGAGCCAAGAUACACAGGAUACAGACUCAUGAAGUUGAUACCUCGAUACCAAUUAUUUAUGUGAUAACUCCGACAUACACUAGACCAGUUCAAAAAGCUGAGUUGACCCGUCUUAUGAAUGCAUUUACCCUUGUUCCUAAUCUUCACUGGAUAAUUGUUGAAGAUUCAAGUUCUAAAACUGACCUUGUGAAGAAUCUAUUAACGAGCUUCCCCAAACCUUCUACUCAUCUUAAUAUUCAGACUCCUGCCAAGAUGAAACUUAAACCUAAGGAUAAGUGGUGGAGCAAGCCUAGAGGGGUUUUUCAGAGAAAUCUAGCACUUAGUUGGCUAAAGGAAAAUGAGAAAAAUAAAGAAGGAAUCAUUUAUUUUGCCGACGACGACAAUACUUAUUCAGUUGAUCUGUUUGAAGAGAUCCGAGGCACUAAACGGGUUUCCGUCCUUCCUGUCGGUCUCGUGGGAGGAGUUAAAGUCGAGAAACCACAAGUAUCUGGUGGUAAAGUGGUUGGAUGGGAGGUUGGUUGGGGGAAUGAACGACCGUUUGCUGUUGACAUGGCGGGGUUUGCCAUCAACCUUCAGUACUUUUUAAAGCACACAGACGUAAAGUUCUUGGAGCAGGUGAAAGUCGGACAUCAGGAGUCUGAGUUCUUAUUUCAGUUGGUUUCAUUAGACCAACUUGAACCUGUGGCCGUUGGAAGGGUGUUAGUGUGGCAUACUCGUACGCAAGCUUUGAACCUUAACAGAGAGGAUUGGUUCUUGAAACAUUAUGGUUAUAGUUCAGAUACUGGCAUAGAACUAUGAUUCUAUAGAUAUAGUUCAGAUACUGGCAUAGAACUAUGAUUCUAUAGAUAUAGUUCAGAUACUGGCAUAGAACUAUGAUUCUAUAGAUAUAGUUCAGAUACUGGCAUAAAACUAUGAUUCUAUAGAUAAAGCUCAGAUACUGGCAUAAAAUUAUGAUUCUAUAGAUAUAGUUAAGAUACUGGCAUAGAACUACGAAUAUAGUUCGAGUAAUGGCAAUCAAAGUCACAAUGUCUACCGUAUCAUACUGUGAUAAAAUAUUAUUUAACACUCACGUCGAUAACUUUUGUAACUGUUGAUUAACAGCAGCUGUAAUAUUUUCAUGUGCCAGAGGCAGAAUUUAAUGAAUUUGAAUUGCGUUUAGGCUUGUUAACUUGAAAUUUUAAUCAUUGUUUCGAGAUUUGAGCUAGCGCGCGAUUUGAACCGGUGAUUGGCGGUUCAGCGACGCGGUUCAAAUUCAUUAAAUUCGGCCUUAGGAUUCAUCAAUCAGCCGUGGUAUAUUUUUAGACUUCCCCUCCCUCUGACUUCAGAUCUGCCAAUGCUUAAUGGGACUGUACGCGUAAUUUCAAGUGACCCUCCAUGCUAAGAUGACAAUGUUCGAUUUUUCUUCCACAAUUUUUAUAAGAUGAAGGUUUCAAGGGUUCCGUUGUAAAUUGGGCAUUAAUAUCGGAGAGUCACGUGAAAUUACGCUUACAGUCCCU
RNAcentral lists this unclassified non-coding RNA (1728 nucleotides) under Eurytemora carolleeae. RNAcentral describes it as "galactosylgalactosylxylosylprotein 3-beta- glucuronosyltransferase I". Lineage: Eukaryota; Metazoa; Arthropoda; Copepoda; Calanoida; Temoridae. The record is from RNAcentral.